This 484-nucleotide ribosomal RNA is filed under the name uncultured bacterium. RNAcentral describes it as "partial 16S ribosomal RNA". It matches the Rfam family "Bacterial small subunit ribosomal RNA", at positions 29 to 507 of the family's 1533-position model. The record is from RNAcentral.
AUUGAACGCUGGCGGAAUGCUUUACACAUGCAAGUCGAACGGCAGCACGGGGGCAACCCUGGUGGCGAGUGGCGAACGGGUGAGUAAUACAUCGGAACGUGCCCGGUCGGGGGGGAUAACGUAGCGAAAGUUACGCUAAUACCGCAUACGAUCUGAGGAUGAAAGCGGGGGACCUUCGGGCCUCGCGCGCUCGGAGCGGCCGAUGUCGGAUUAGGUAGUUGGUGGGGUAAAGGCCUACCAAGCCGGCGAUCGGUAGCUGGUCUGAGUGGACGAGCACCGACACUGGGACUGAGACACCGCCCAGAGUCCUACGGGAGGCAGCAGUGGGGAAUGGUGGACAACGGGCGCAAGCAUGAUACAGCCAGCCCGCGUGCAGGACGAAGGCCUUGGGGUUGUAAACUGCUUUUGUAUGGAACGAAAAGGCUCUGGCUAAUACCUGGGGCUCAUGACGGUACCGUAAGAAUAAGCACCGGCUAACUACGUG